Molecule: transfer RNA, 66 nt
Filed under: Neoeriocheir leptognathus
Lineage: Eukaryota; Metazoa; Arthropoda; Malacostraca; Decapoda; Varunidae
Description: tRNA-Asn
Source: RNAcentral
UUGAUGAAAACCAAAAGAGAGGUGUAUCACUGUUAAUGAUAAAAUUGAGUUCUAACUCUCAUCAAG